GAUGAACGCUGGCGGCGUGCCUAAUACAUGCAAGUCGAGCGAACAGACGAGGAGCUUGCUCCUCUGACGUUAGCGGCGGACGGGUGAGUAACACGUGGAUAACCUACCUAUAAGACUGGGAUAACUUCGGGAAACCGGAGCUAAUACCGGAUAAUAUAUUGAACCGCAUGGUUCAAUAGUGAAAGACGGUUUUGCUGUCACUUAUAGAUGGAUCCGCGCCGCAUUAGCUAGUUGGUAAGGUAACGGCUUACCAAGGCGACGAUGCGUAGCCGACCUGAGAGGGUGAUCGGCCACACUGGAACUGAGACACGGUCCAGACUCCUACGGGAGGCAGCAGUAGGGAAUCUUACGCAAUGGGCGAGAGCCUGACGGAGCAACGCCGCGUGAGUGAUGAAGGUCUUCGGAUCGUAAAACUCUGUUAUUAGGGAAGAACAAAUGUGUAAGUAACUAUGCACGUCUUGACGGUACCUAAUCAGAAAGCCACGGCUAACUACGUG
RNAcentral lists this ribosomal RNA (497 nucleotides) under uncultured bacterium. RNAcentral describes it as "partial 16S ribosomal RNA". It matches the Rfam family "Bacterial small subunit ribosomal RNA", at positions 28 to 507 of the family's 1533-position model. The record is from RNAcentral.